AUACCGUGAUGAGGACAUCCUCUGAGUAAUUCUUUGAAUCUUUCCUAUACAUCAUACAAGCUUUCAUCUUCAAGUUAAUGGAAAGAUGUGAUCUCAUUCCUCAAUUU
Molecule: small nucleolar RNA, 107 nt
Rfam family: Plant small nucleolar RNA R71
About the family: R71 is a member of the C/D box family of snoRNAs containing the C (UGAUGA) and D (CUGA) box motifs. Multiple nearly identical copies of this snoRNA have been identified in Arabidopsis, and it is thought to function as a 2'-O-ribose methylation guide for 18S ribosomal RNA.
Source: Rfam